This 73-nucleotide transfer RNA is filed under the name Camelus dromedarius (Arabian camel). It matches the Rfam family "tRNA". From Rfam's summary of the family: Transfer RNA (tRNA) molecules are approximately 80 nucleotides in length. Their secondary structure includes four short double-helical elements and three loops (D, anti-codon, and T loops). Lineage: Eukaryota; Metazoa; Chordata; Mammalia; Artiodactyla; Camelidae. RNAcentral also lists the same sequence under 1 other name. The record is from Rfam by way of RNAcentral.
GAGGGUGUAGCUCAAGUGGUAGAGCACAUGCUUAGCAUGCACAGGGUCCUGGGUUCAAUCCCCAGUACCUCCU